CCACGAGAGUUUGUAACACCCGAAGUCGGUGAGGUAACCUUUAUGGAGCCAGCCGCCUAAGGUGGGACAGAUGAUUGGGGUGAAGUCGUAACAAGGUAGCCGUAUCGGAAGGUGCGGCUGGAUCACCUCCUUUCUAAGGAUAAUUACGAGAGCGCUUUUGUUUUGUUCAGUUUUGAAUGAGUAAUUCAUUCAAAUAGGAAAGACAGUCAUCACGAUGUGAUGGAUUCUUUCUGCUUUGUUCCUUGAAAACUAGAUAAUAGAUAGAAGGCAAUUAAUUUUUUUCAAAGCAUCUGUAAGAUCUUUUUUAACGGUUAAGUUAGAAAGGGCGCACGGUGGAUGCC
Molecule: unclassified non-coding RNA, 341 nt
Filed under: Peribacillus simplex
Lineage: Bacteria; Bacillati; Bacillota; Bacilli; Caryophanales; Bacillaceae
Description: Bacillus simplex partial contains 16S ribosomal RNA, 16S-23S ribosomal RNA intergenic spacer, and 23S ribosomal RNA
Rfam family: Bacterial small subunit ribosomal RNA (bases 1-133)
Source: RNAcentral